GUAUUCACUUUAGCAGCACGUAUACUAAAAUUGGAAUGAUACAGAGAAGAUUAGCAUGGCCCCUGCACAAGGAUGACAUGCAAAUUCAUGAAGCGUUCCAUAUUAAA
RNAcentral lists this small nuclear RNA (107 nucleotides) under Urocitellus parryii (Arctic ground squirrel). The record is from RNAcentral. Lineage: Eukaryota; Metazoa; Chordata; Mammalia; Rodentia; Sciuridae.